Molecule: ribosomal RNA, 477 nt
Filed under: uncultured bacterium
Lineage: Bacteria
Description: partial 16S ribosomal RNA
Rfam family: Bacterial small subunit ribosomal RNA
Source: RNAcentral
GAUGAACGCUGGCGGCGUGCUUAACACAUGCAAGUCGAACGAGAAGUGGAGACGGAAACCUUCGGGCGGAAGACUUUAUUUCGAGUGGCGGACGGGUGAGUAACGCGUGGGUAACCUGCCUCAUACAGGGGGAUAACAGUUGGAAACGACUGUUAAUACCGCAUAAGACCACAGCACCGCAUGGUGCGGGGGUAAAAACUCCGGUGGUAUGAGAUGGACCCGCGUUCGAUUAGCCAGUUGGCGGGGUAACGGCCCACCAAAGCGACGAUCGAUAGCCGAUCUGAGAGGAUGACCGGCCACAUUGGGACUGAGACACGGCCCAAACUCCUACGGGAGGCAGCAGUGGGGAAUAUUGCACAAUGGGGGAAACCCUGAUGCAGCGACGCCGCGGGAGUGAAGAAGUAUUUCGGUAUGUAAAGCUCUAUCAGCAGGGAAGAAAAUGACGGUACCUGAGUAAGAAGCCCCGGCUAACUACGU